CAGAUGGGAUUAGCURGUAGGUAGGGUAAAGGCCUACCUAGGCGACGAUCCCUAGCUGGUCAGAGAGGAUGACCAGCCACACUGGGACUGAGACACGGCCCAGACUCCUACGGGAGGCAGCAGUGGGGAAUAUUGCACAAUGGGCGCAAGCCUGAUGCAGCCAUGCCGCGUGUAUGAAGAAGGCCUUCGGGUUGUAAAGUACUUUCAGCGGGGAGGAAGGGUUCAGCUUGAACAGAGCUGRAUUUUGACGUUACCCGCAGAAGAAGCACCGGCUAACUCCGUGCCAGCAGCCGCGGUAAUACGGAGGGUGCAAGCGUUAAUCGGAAUGACUGGGCGUAAAGCGCACGCAGGCGGUCAAUUAAGUUAGAUGUGAAAUCCCCGGGCUCAACCUGGGAAUGGCAUCUAAGACUGGUUGGCUGGAGUCUCGUACCAGGGGGGUAGAAUUCCAUGUGUAGCGGUGAAAUGCGUAGAGAUGUGGAGGAAUACCGGUGGCGAAGGCGGCCCCCUGGACGAAGACUGACGCUCAGGUGCGAAAGCGUGGGGAGCAAACAGGAAUAGAUACCCUGGUAGUCCACGCUGUAAACGAUGUCGAUUUGGAGGUUGUGGCCUUGAGCUGUGGCUUCCGAAGCUAACGCGUUAAAUCGACCGCCUGGGGAGUACGGCCGCAAGGUUAAAACUCUAAUGAAUUGACGGGGGCCCGCACAAGCGGUGGAGCAUGUGGUUUAAUUCGAUGCAACGCGAGGAACCUUACCUACUCUUGACAUCCAGAGAAGACCUCAGAGAUGAGGUUGUGCCUUCGGGAGCUCUGAGACAGGUGCUGCAUGGCUGUCGUCAGCUCGUGUUGUGAAAUGUUGGGUUAAGCCCCCCAACGAGCGCAACCCUUAUCCUUUGUUGCCAGCGCGURAAGGCGGGAACUCAAAGGAGACUGCCGGUGAUAAACCGGAGGAAGGUGGGGAUGACGUCAAGUCAUCAUGGCCCUGACGAGUAGGGCUACACACGUGCUACAAUGGCGGAUACAAAGUGAAGCGACCUCGCGAGAGCAAGCGGAACACACAAAGUCUGUCGUAGUCCGGAUUGGAGUCUGCAACUCGACUCCAUGAAGUCGGAAUCGCUAGUAAUCGUAGAUCAGCAUGCUACGGUG
Molecule: ribosomal RNA, 1141 nt
Filed under: Photorhabdus luminescens
Lineage: Bacteria; Pseudomonadati; Pseudomonadota; Gammaproteobacteria; Enterobacterales; Morganellaceae
Description: bacterial SSU rRNA
Rfam family: Bacterial small subunit ribosomal RNA
Source: RNAcentral